CUUGAGAAACCUAAAAGUUCGAAAAGCGAGAUUCAAUGUCAGUAUGUAUUGUAUUCACGUGAGUAGGGAUGUGUGCACUUUUUCAUGUUUUUUUAUUGCAAUACUAUUACCGGCGUGCACUUCUCGCUUAGUAGGACGUCCCGACCCGUUGAGUCUUAACCUACGGCUCAGACUUUGAUAUUUAUUUAUUAAAGACCUCUGAUAUUAAAGACCUCUGACUUGUCUGGUUAUAGUACUCGACGGGGUGUCAGCCGCAUUGACGAAUGCGCCCAUGCGCCCGGCCAGCUGCAAUGUUGUUAGCAUACCGUAUUAUAUAGACUUUGUGCUAUUGGUAUGGUCUGUGCUUGAUGGGCCGGCUUACUUCGCCUGUCUGGGACGCUUAGGCUUUGGGUACUCUCAAGACCCGUCUUGAAACACGGACCAAGGAGUCUAACAUGUACGCGAGUCAUUGGGUAUAUAUUUUUCAAACCUAAAGGCGUAAUGAAAGUAAAGGUUGAA
Molecule: ribosomal RNA, 498 nt
Filed under: Aerophilus sp. H2201
Lineage: Eukaryota; Metazoa; Arthropoda; Insecta; Hymenoptera; Braconidae
Description: eukaryotic LSU rRNA
Rfam family: Eukaryotic large subunit ribosomal RNA
Source: RNAcentral